UGAAUACGAGAUGCUACGGCGUCGAAGCAGUGUAUGUCAGACUUCCAAGAAAAGCUCGCUAUGUCAUAAAUAAAUAAUGCCUGUACCAUAACCGACACAGGUGGGUAGGUAGAGUAUACUAAGGGGCGCGAGAUAACUCUCUCUAAGGAACUCGGCAAAAUAACUCCGUAACUUCGGGAGAAGGAGUGCCUUAUUUAAUAAGGUUGCAAUAACAAGAUCCAAGCAACUGUUUAUCAAAAACACAGGUCUCCGCUAAGUCGUAAGACGAUGUAUGGGGGCUGACGCCUGCCCAGUGCCAGAAGGUUAAGGAAGUUGGUUAGCAUCUGCGAAGCUGAUAACUGAAGCCCUGGUGAACGGCGGCCGUAACUAUAACGGUCCUAAGGUAGCGAAAUUCCUUGUCGGGUAAGUUCCGACCCGCACGAAAGGCGUAAUGAUUUGGAUACUGUCUCGGAGAGGGGCUCGGUGAAAUAGACUUGUCUGUGAAGAUGCGGACUACCUGCACCAGGACAGAAAGACCCUAUGAAGCUUUACUGUAACUUGGAAUUGAAAUCGGACUUUAUUUGCGCAGUAUAGGUGGGAGGCAUUGAGAAUAUUCUUGCGGGAAUAUUGGAGCCAUCAGUGAGAUACCACUCCUGUAAUGUUAGGUUUCUAACUUUGUAUCAUAAUCUGGUCAAAGGACAGUUUCAGGCGGGCAGUUUGACUGGGGCGGUCGCCUCCUAAAUGGUAACGGAGGCGUACAAAGGUUUCCUCUGAACGGGUAGAAAUCGUAUCUAGAGUGUAAAGGCAUAAGGAAGCUUGACUGUGAGACCUACAAGUCGAGCAGGGACGAAAGUCGGUCUUAGUGAUCUGACGGUGCUGAGUGGAAAGGCCGUCACUCAACGGAUAAAAGUUACUCUAGGAUAACAGGCUGAUCUCCCCCAAGAGUUCACAUCGACGGGGAGGUUUGGCACCUCGAUGUCGGCUCAUCGCAUCCUGGGGCGGUAGUACGUCCCAAGGGUUGGGCUGUUCUCCCAUGAAAGCGGUACGCGAGCUGGGUUCAGAACGUCGUGAGACAGUUCGGUCCAUAUCCGGUGUAGGCGUUAGAAUAUUGAGAGGAGCCUUCUUUAGUACGAGAGGACCGAGAAGGACAUACCUCUGGUGUACCAGUUAUCGUGCCAACGGUAAACGCUGGGUAGCUAUGUAUGGAGAGGAUAACCGCUGAAAGCAUCUAAGUGGGAAGCCCACCUCAAGAUGAG
This 1235-nucleotide ribosomal RNA is filed under the name metagenome. RNAcentral describes it as "bacterial LSU rRNA". It matches the Rfam family "Bacterial large subunit ribosomal RNA", at positions 1564 to 2808 of the family's 2925-position model. The record is from RNAcentral.